UGCAUGUUGGCCGAGUGGUUUAAAGCGUCGAUCUGCUAAAUCGAAGAUAUUUUUUUAGAUAUCCAUGGGUUCAAAUCCCAUACAUGUGA
This 89-nucleotide transfer RNA is filed under the name Paramoeba aparasomata. RNAcentral describes it as "tRNA-Ser". It matches the Rfam family "tRNA". From Rfam's summary of the family: Transfer RNA (tRNA) molecules are approximately 80 nucleotides in length. Their secondary structure includes four short double-helical elements and three loops (D, anti-codon, and T loops). Further hydrogen bonds mediate the characteristic L-shaped molecular structure. tRNAs have two regions of fundamental functional importance: the anti-codon, which is responsible for specific mRNA codon recognition, and the 3' end, to which the tRNAs corresponding amino acid is attached (by aminoacyl-tRNA synthetases). tRNAs cope with the degeneracy of the genetic code in two manners: having more than one tRNA (with a specific anti-codon) for a particular amino acid; and 'wobble' base-pairing, i.e. permitting non-standard base-pairing at the 3rd anti-codon position. The record is from RNAcentral. Lineage: Eukaryota; Discosea; Flabellinia; Dactylopodida; Paramoebidae.